GACGAACGCUGGCGGCGUGCUUAACACAUGCAAGUCGAACGAUGAAGGAGAGCUUGCUCUCCGGAUUAGUGGCGAACGGGUGAGUAACACGUGACUAACCUGCCCCUUUCUCUGGGAUAACGCUCCGAAAGGAGUGCUAAUACCGGAUACGAACCCUGAACACAUGUUCGGAGUUGGAAAGUUUCUCGGAAAGGGAUGGAGUCGCGGCCUAUCAGCUUGUUGGUGAGGUAACGGCUCACCCAGGCGACGACGGGUAGCCGGCCUGAGAGGGCGACAGGUCACACUGGGACUGAGACACGGCCCGGCCUCAUACGGGAGGCAGCAGUGGGGAAUAUUGCACAAUGGGCGAAAGCGUGAUGCAGCGACGCCGCGUAAGGGAGGAAGGUCUUCGGAUUGUAAACCUCUUUCAGUAGGGACGAAGCGAAAGUGACGGUACCUAAAGAAGAAGCACCGGCUAACUACGUGGCAGCCGCCGCCGUAA
This 481-nucleotide ribosomal RNA is filed under the name uncultured bacterium. RNAcentral describes it as "partial 16S ribosomal RNA". It matches the Rfam family "Bacterial small subunit ribosomal RNA", at positions 28 to 523 of the family's 1533-position model. The record is from RNAcentral.